GACGAACGCUGGCGGCGUGCUUAACACAUGCAAGUCGAACGGAAAGGCCCUGCUUUUGUGGGGUGCUCGAGUGGCGAACGGGUGAGUAACACGUGAGUAACCUGCCCUUUACUUUGGGAUAACUUCAGGAAACUGGGGCUAAUACCGGAUAGGAGCUCCUGCUGCAUGGUGGGGGUUGGACAGUUUCGGCGGUUGGGGAUGGACUCGCGGCUUAUCAGCUUGUUGGUGGGGUAGUGGCUUACCAAGGCUUUGACGGGUAGCCGGCCUGAGAGGGUGACCGGCGACAUUGCGACUGAGAGACGGACCAGACGCCUACGGGGGGCAGCAGUGGGGAAUAUUGUACAAUGGGCGGAAGCCUGAGGCAGCAACGCCGCGUGCGGGAUGACGGCCUUCGGGUGGUAAACCGCUGUCGCUUGUUACGAAGCGGGAGUGACGGUAAUGGGUAAAGAAGCACCGGCUAACUACGUG
This 468-nucleotide ribosomal RNA is filed under the name uncultured bacterium. Its description in RNAcentral is "partial 16S ribosomal RNA". It matches the Rfam family "Bacterial small subunit ribosomal RNA", at positions 28 to 507 of the family's 1533-position model. The record is from RNAcentral.